AACGAACGCUGGCGGCAGGCUUAACACAUGCAAGUCGAGCGAGACCUUCGGGUCUAGCGGCGGACGGGUGAGUAACGCGUGGGAACGUGCCCUUCUCUACGGAAUAGCCCCGGGAAACUGGGAGUAAUACCGUAUACGCCCUUUGGGGGAAAGAUUUAUCGGAGAAGGAUCGGCCCGCGUUGGAUUAGGUAGUUGGUGGGGUAAUGGCCCACCAAGCCGACGAUCCAUAGCUGGUUUGAGAGGAUGAUCAGCCACACUGGGACUGAGACACGGCCCAGACUCCUACGGGAGGCAGCAGUGGGGAAUCUUAGACAAUGGGGGCAACCCUGAUCUAGCCAUGCCGCGGGAGUGAUGAAGGCCUUAGGGUUGUAAAGCUCUUUCAGCGGGGAAGAUAAGGACGGUACCAGCAGAAGAAGCCCCGGCUAACUCCGU
This 432-nucleotide ribosomal RNA is filed under the name uncultured bacterium. Its description in RNAcentral is "partial 16S ribosomal RNA". It matches the Rfam family "Bacterial small subunit ribosomal RNA", at positions 29 to 506 of the family's 1533-position model. The record is from RNAcentral.